Molecule: ribosomal RNA, 468 nt
Filed under: uncultured bacterium
Lineage: Bacteria
Description: partial 16S ribosomal RNA
Rfam family: Bacterial small subunit ribosomal RNA
Source: RNAcentral
GACGAACGCUGGCGGUGUGCUUAACACAUGCAAGUCGAACGGCAAGGCACUGCUUUUGUGGGGUGCUCGAGUGGCGAACGGGUGCGUAACACGUGAGUAACCUGCCCUUGUCUUUGGGAUAACUUCAGGAAACUGGGGCUAAUACCGGAUAGGAGCUCCCGCUGCAUGGUGGGGGUUGGAACGUUUCGGCGGGUGGGGAUGGACUCGCGGCUUAUCAGCUUGUUGGUGGGGUAGUGGCUGACCAAGGCUUUGACUGGUAGCCGGCCUGAGAGGGUGACCGGCCACAUUGGGACUGAGAUAGGGCCCAGACUCCAACGGGAGGCAGCAGUGGGGAAUAUUGCACAGUGGGCGGAAGCCGGAUGCAGCGGCGCCGCGUGCGGGAUGACGGCCUUCGGGUUGUAAACCGCUUUCGCCUGUGACGAAGCGUGAGUGACGGUAAUGGGUAAAGAAGCACCGGCUAACUACGUG